AUUGAACGCUGGCGGCAUGCCUUACACAUGCAAGUCGAACGGCAGCACGGGAGCAAUCCUGGUGGCGAGUGGCGAACGGGUGAGUAAUGUAUCGGAACGUACCUUUCAGUGGGGGAUAACGUAGCGAAAGUUACGCUAAUACCGCAUAUUCUGUGAGCAGGAAAGCAGGGGAUCGCAAGACCUUGCGCUGAUUGAGCGGCCGAUGGCAGAUUAGGUAGUUGGUGGGGUAAAGGCUCACCAAGCCUGCGAUCUGUAGCUGGUCUGAGAGGACGACCAGCCACACUGGAACUGAGACACGGUCCAGACUCCUACGGGAGGCAGCAGUGGGGAAUUUUGGACAAUGGGCGCAAGCCUGAUCCAGCCAUUCCGCGUGCAGGAUGAAGGCC
Molecule: ribosomal RNA, 386 nt
Filed under: uncultured bacterium
Lineage: Bacteria
Description: bacterial SSU rRNA
Rfam family: Bacterial small subunit ribosomal RNA
Source: RNAcentral